GACGAACGCUGGCGGCGUGCUUAACACAUGCAAGUCGAACGGAAAGGCCCUGCUUUUGUGGGGUGCUCGAGUGGCGAACGGGUGAGUAACACGUGAGUAACCUGCCCUUGACUUUGGGAUAACUUCAGGAAACUGGGGCUAAUACCGGAUAGGAGCUCCUGUUGCAUGGUGGGGGUUGGAAAGUUUCGGCGGUUGGGGAUGGACUCGCGGCUUAUCAGCUUGUUGGUGGGGUAGUGGCUUACCAAGGCUUUGACGGGUAGCCGGCCUGAGAGGGUGACCGGCCACAUUGGGACUGAGAUACGGCCCAGACUCCUACGGGAGGCAGCAGUGGGGAAUAUUGCACAAUGGGCGGAAGCCUGAUGCAGCAACGCCGCGUGCGGGAUGACGGCCUUCGGGUUGUAACCCGCUUUCGCCUGUGACGAAGCGUGAGUGACGGUAAUGGGUAAAGAAGCACCGGCUAACUACGUG
RNAcentral lists this ribosomal RNA (468 nucleotides) under uncultured bacterium. RNAcentral's name for it is "partial 16S ribosomal RNA". It matches the Rfam family "Bacterial small subunit ribosomal RNA", at positions 28 to 507 of the family's 1533-position model. The record is from RNAcentral.